This 253-nucleotide ribosomal RNA is filed under the name uncultured bacterium. Its description in RNAcentral is "partial 16S ribosomal RNA". It matches the Rfam family "Bacterial small subunit ribosomal RNA", at positions 524 to 776 of the family's 1533-position model. The record is from RNAcentral.
UACGGGGGGGGCAAGCGUUGUUCGGAAUUACUGGGCGUAAAGGGCUCGUAGGCGGCCAACUAAGUCCGACGUGAAAUCCCCAGGCUUAACCUGGGAACUGCGUCGGAUACUGGAUGGCUUGAAUCCGGGAGAGGAGACUGGAAUUCAUGGUGUAGCAGUGAAAUGCGUAGAGAUCAUGAGGAAGACCAGUGGCGAAGGCGGGUCUCUGGACAGUUCCUGACACUGAGACACGAAGGCCAGGGGAGCAAACGGG